RNA transcript from Maniola jurtina (meadow brown), 1846 nucleotides. It is a transcript of the gene named monocarboxylate transporter 9-like, with no coding region annotated. NCBI's taxonomy places the organism in Eukaryota, Metazoa, Arthropoda, Insecta, Lepidoptera, Nymphalidae. The transcript has 9 exons. The record is from RefSeq and is a predicted model, not a curated record.
AAGAAAGGUUGUUGGUGAUAGAUUGUUAGGUUCGUAUGAAUCGUUGCGAGGGCAGAAUAUAAUGAGUUCGCAAGGCAAAAACAGCCUCGGAAGCUGUGAUAGUGACGAGAAGAAAUAUGAGCUGGUGCCUCCUGAGGGUGGAUGGGGGUACGCGGUGUGCGUUGGACUUUCCGUUAUUUUUAUUGCCGGCACUGCACAUCAACCCGUUUUCGGAUUUAUUUACAAUGAUUUUUUGGACGAACUCGGCGUUGGUACUGGCGCAGUUACCGUCGUUUAUGGAGUAUUUCAAGUCACCCUUGCUAUAGCUGGGUUCUCAUCGAAUAUAGUUUUAAAAAAACUAUCUCUGCGACAAGUAGGUUUGAUUGGCGCGUUCAUAUAUACGCUAGCAUCAUUCCUUGCUAUAUUUGUAACAACUACAACACAGUUGAUCAUCACUAAUGGAUUUCUACAAGGUUUGGGAAUGGGAUUACUCAUUCCCGUAUCCUACACGAGUUUCAACAGUUACUUCACAAGGAAAAAAGUGCUUUAUUUAAGUUUGUGUAAGGCUUCAAUUGGAAUGAUCACGAUGGUGUACCCAUUGUUCAUCAAGUUUACUAUAACGGAGUAUGGGUUCAGAGGGACUUUAGCGAUUCUUUGUGCCAUUUCUGCGCAUAGUAUAUUUGGUGCUCUCGUAAUGCACCCUGUACAAUGGCAUAUGGUGAAGCGAAUAAAGUCCUGUGAAAAAAUUGUUCUUAUACCACCAACACCAGCAUGUGAUGGAGACAACGACAAAUUUGACUUUUUGAAAAGCAAUAUCACAAAGCAGGAAACAAAAUCAGUUCAAAAUCUGUACACGAAAAACUGUACAGAUUGCCACAAAGAAUCUGGCCUUCUAUUCAUUCCUAAGCUAACUGAUUCAAGAAGACUGAGUAUUCCUGUUGUGUUAAUACCAAGUGAAAAUAGCAGUAGUAAAUUCAAUUCCCACGACAAUGUGUAUAUGGAGAACUUGUAUAAAGCAGCUUCGGUGUCUAGUUUAGGAAAUUUUGGCAGCAUCGCUGUGGAACCGAUGCCUAUUAUCAAGAAUAAGGAAGGCAAAUGGCAAACAGUAGCUGAAUAUUUAGAUUUAACCCUGUUGAAGGACUUGGUGUACGACAAUAUCAUAUUUGGAAUGGCAAUGACCUUCUUUGCUGAUCUCACAUUUUUCACUUUGGAGCCAUUGUUUCUGGAUAAAAAUCAUCUCAGUAAGGCGGAGAUAGCGAACAUUAUAGCUGUGGGGGGCGCUACAGACAUGUCGGCGAGGCUGCUGUUGGGCGUGUCGGGGCAAUUCUUCCGAAUGAACAGCCGCUACAUGUUCUACGCGGGCGCUCUAUUUGCUGCUUUAUUUAGACUAGUGUUUAUCCAAUUCACAACGUACAUCCCUCUACUAAUUCUGACGGGAAUCCUGGGAGCGUUACGUUCCCUCGUACACAUAGCACAGCCGAUAGUAAUGGCCGACCAUGUCCCCAUCGAGCGGUACCCGCCCGCUUAUGGAUUAUACAUGUUGCUGGCCGGAGCACUUAGCUUGAGUGUCGGACCUAUGAUUGGUUUCAUACGAGAUUAUACAGGAAGCUACGCAAUCGCGUUUGUACUGUUGGCGGUCUGCAACUUAUGCUGUGUGGUUCCGUGGACUUUCGAGGCGAUUAUACUAUUCAUAAAGCGUAGACAGCGUAGCCCACAAACGUGAUAUUUUUAUUUGUUAUUUAAGGGACAAAUCAAGGCUGAACUUUUGAUAGGUCUUAACGCGCAUAAGUAGACAUCGAUUUCAAUGAAAUCACCCAAAGAAAAGAAAUACGAUUUAAGUCAUAUCCAUACUAAUCCAUACUAAGUA